UUUUUUUAUAAGAACUUCCCCAUUUCAAAACAGCCAAACCCAAAAGAUUCCCCUCCCCGUCCACGCCUCGCCGAACCCUAAACCCCGGCGAUCCCCAUGGCCACCCACCCCCGAUCUCCCCACGACCUCCUCGGCGGUGGCGCAGUCGCCGACGUGCUGCUGUGGCGGCGGAGGAACGCCUCGGCGGCGGCCGUGGUGGGUGCCACGGUGGUGUGGUUUGUCUUCGAGCGCGCGGGCUACAGCUUCCCGUCCGUCCUGGCCAACGCACUGCUCCUCCUCGUCGCCAUCCUCUUCUUAUGGGCCAAGUCCGCAUCGCUGCUCAACAGGCCUCUUCCACCUCUUCCUAAUCUGGAGGUUUCAGAUGUGGUUGUCGAGAAAGCUGCAGAUCACGCUCUUGUAUGGAUCAACAUGGUGUUGGUUGUUGGCCAUGAUAUUGCCAUCAAGAGAGAUAGGAAAGUUUUUAUACAGGGGAUAUUGAUUUUGUGGGUGGUUUCAUACAUUGGAAUGCUCUUCAACUUCCUUACGCUCAUUUACAUUGGGGUAAUGCUUUCUCUGUUGGUUCCACCACUGUAUGAGAAGUACCAAGAUCAGGUUGAUGAAAAGUUUGGUGCAGCAUACAGUGUACUAUCAAGGCACUUAGAUACCAUCAUUAGCAAGACUGGGCAAUCAACCAAGCAAAAGAAGACCGAGUAAAAGAAAUAUUUUUCUGUAUUUGGUAAGUCUCAACGGGACAUGGAAUAUGUUACUUCUUCAUGUUUUGUCUUAUCAGGAACAUCUCCGGUUGUCCAGAGCAGUUGGCCAUGGGUCUUUCAUCCUUGACUCUCCAUACUUGUGUGAACCUCCACUAAAAUUAGUUUUCAAUAUGCAAGAUUAAAAAUACCAUGUUUGACUUCUGAUAUGAUGUUUUGAUGCAUGCUGUUCAGUCUGAGAAAUGGAAUUAUCUGUGUAUUUUUUUCCUAAGAACCUGAAACACGCAGAGGUUUACAAUAGGUACUUAUCUUAUUGGCGAUGGCAUAUGUCAAUGUGAGAUAUUGCAGCUUGCACA
RNA transcript from Phragmites australis (common reed), 1045 nucleotides. It is a transcript of the gene named reticulon-like protein B11, with no coding region annotated. The transcript has 6 exons. Lineage: Eukaryota; Viridiplantae; Streptophyta; Magnoliopsida; Poales; Poaceae. The record is from RefSeq and is a predicted model, not a curated record.